UGUCUUGUGGUGCAGUGGUCAGCAUACCAGCCCUGAAUGCUUGGAGACGUGGGUUCGAAUCCCACCGAGGCAC
This is a non-coding RNA of Zophobas morio, 73 nucleotides long. The record is from the annotation of a RefSeq genome assembly. Lineage: Eukaryota; Metazoa; Arthropoda; Insecta; Coleoptera; Tenebrionidae.